UGCCAGACUCCUACGGGAGGCAGCAGUGAGGAAUAUUGGUCAAUGGUCGUAAGACUGAACCAGCCGAGUAGCGUGCAGGAUGACGGCCCUAUGGGUUGUAAACUGCUUUUAUGCGGGGAUAAAAUGCGUCACGUGUGAUGUUUUGUAGGUACCGCAUGAAUAAGGACCGGCUAAUUCCGUGCCAGCAGCCGCGGUAAUACGGAAGGUCCGGGCGUUAUCCGGAUUUAUUGGGUUUAAAGGGAGCGUAGGCCGCAUGUUAAGCGUGCCGUGAAAUGCCGUGGCUCAACCAUGGCACUGCGGCGCGAACUGGCUUGCUUGAGUGCGCGGAACGUAUGCGGAAUUCGUGGUGUAGCGGUGAAAUGCUUAGAUAUCACGAAGAACUCCGAUUGCGAAGGCAGCAUGCCGGCUCCACACUGACGCUGAGGCACGAAAGCGUGGGUAUCGAACAGGAUUAGAUACCCGUGUA
This 466-nucleotide ribosomal RNA is filed under the name uncultured bacterium. Its description in RNAcentral is "bacterial SSU rRNA". It matches the Rfam family "Bacterial small subunit ribosomal RNA", at positions 329 to 792 of the family's 1533-position model. The record is from RNAcentral.